This 497-nucleotide ribosomal RNA is filed under the name uncultured bacterium. Its description in RNAcentral is "partial 16S ribosomal RNA". It matches the Rfam family "Bacterial small subunit ribosomal RNA", at positions 28 to 507 of the family's 1533-position model. The record is from RNAcentral.
GAUGAACGCUGGCGGCGUGCCUAAUACAUGCAAGUCGAGCGAACAGACGAGAAGCUUGCUUCUCUGAUGUUAGCGGCGGACGGGUGAGUAACACGUGGAUAACCUACCUAUAAGACUGGGAUAACUUCGGGAAACCGUAGCUAAUACCGGAUAAUAUUUUGAACCGCAUGGUUCAAAAGUGAAAGACGGUCUUGCUGUCACUUAUAGAUGGAUCCGCGCUGCAUUAGCUAGUUGGUAAGGUAACGGCUUACCAAGGCGACGAUGCAUAGCCGACCUGAGAGGGUGAUCGGCCACACUGGAACUGAGACACGGUCCAGACUCCUACGGGAGGCAGCAGUAGGGAAUCUUCCGCAAUGGGCGAAAGCUUGACGGAGCAACGCCGCGUGAGUGAUGAAGGUCUUCGGAUCGUAAAACUCUGUUAUUAGGGAAGAACAUAUGUGUAAGUAACUAUGCACAUCUUGACGGUACCUAAUCAGAAAGCCACGGCUAACUACGUG